GUCACCACGUUGUCCCCAACUUGUCACCAUCUUGUCUCAAAACUGUCCCCAACUUGUCACCAUGUUGUCAUGACAUUGUCCCCAACUUGUCACCAUGUUGUCCCCAUCUUGUCGCAAAACUGUCCCCAACUUGUCACCUCUUUGUCCCCAACUUGUCACCGUGUUGUCACAACAUUGUCCCCAUCUUGCCACCAUGCUGCCCCCAUCUUGUCUCAAAGUUGUCCCCAACUUGUCACCAUCGUGUCACCAAGUUGUCACCACAUUGCCACCGUCUUGUCACCACGUUGUCCCCAAACUGUCACCACUCUGUCCCCAACUUGUCACCACUCUGUCCCCAACUUGUCCCCAUCUUGUCACCGUGUUACCGCCAUCUUGUCUCCAAUUUGUCCCCAGUUUGUCACCAUGUUGUCCCCAACUUGUCCCCAUCUUAUCUCAAAGUUGUCCCCAACUUGCCACCAUGUUGUCCCCAUCUUGUCUCAAAACUGUCCCCAACUUGUCACCGUGUUGCCACCACAUUGUCCCCAUCUUGCCAUCCAUUUGUCCCCAACUUGUCACCACAUUGUCCCCAUCUUGCCACCAUGCUGCCACCAUCUUGUCUCAAGGUUGUCCCCAACUUGUCACCACUCUGUCCCCAACUUGUCCCCAUCUUGUCACCGUGUUACCGCCAUCUUGUCUCCAAGCUGUCCCCAAUUUGUCACCACUUUGUCCCCAAUUUGUCACCAUGUUGUCACCACAUUGUCACCAUCUUGCCGCCAUCUUGUCUCAAAGUUGCCCCCAAUUUGUCACCACGUUGUCCCCAACUUGUCACCACGUUGCCGCCAUCUUGUCUCAAAGUUGUCCCCAACUUGUCACCAUCGUGUCACCACGUUGUCCCCAACUUGUCACCACAUCAUCCCAUCUUGUCACCAUGUUGCCGCCAUCUUGUCUCAAAAUUGUCCCCAACUUGUCACCAUGUUGCCGCCAUCUUGUCACCAUCUUAUCUCAAAACUGUCCCCAUCUUGUCACCAAGUUGUCCCCAUCUUGUCACCACGUUGCCGCCAUCUUGUCUCAGAGCUGUCCCCAACUUGUCCCCACGCUCUCCUGGCGUCACCGCGUUGCCACCAUCACACCUCCACGUUGUCCCCAACUUGUCACCUCCUCUUCUCACCGCAUCCCGGUGUCACCGCCGUGUCCCGGAGUUGUCACCGUGUUGUCACCAUCGUGUCACCGCGUUGUCAGCCAGGGGUUGGGGUGGACAGGGACAUGGGGACACGGGGGAGGGGGGACGUGGGGACAUCGGGGACAAUGGGGACAUUGGGGAGGGUUGGGGACACUGGAGAUGGGUUGGGGACAUUGGAGGGUUGGGGACAUUGGGGACAAUGGGGUGUUGGGGACAUUGGGGACAUUGGGGUUGGGAUGUUGGGGUCACCAUGGUUGGGACAUUGGGGACAUUGGGGCCACCGUAGUUGGGACACUGGGGACACUGGGGACAUUGGGGACAUUGGGGACAUUGGGGUGGGGAUGCUGGGGACUUUGGAGACUUUGGGGAGAUUGGGGUUGGGAUGUUGGUGACUUUGGGGACAUGGUUGUCCCGACGAAUCUGGGGCCGCUGUCUUUGAGAUAUUGGGGGCCAUUGGGGCCAUCAGACCCGGAUGUUGGGGACAUGGUUGUCCCCACGUCCCCAGCUGGGGUCCCCCACGGCGCUGGCCGACCCCGAGACGGAGCAGAGGCUGCGAGGGGCGGCGCUGAGGGGGGGUCACACCCUCUAUGUCCCCCGUGGGGCCCUGUGGGGUUGCGAGGACAUCCGGCGCAUGGAUGACAGCGGGGCGCUGGCCGUGAGCAUUUGGGGACAACGGUGACAUUGGACACAGCGGGGUUGGGGACGUUGUGGGGGUUGGGGACACCGUUGAGGUUGGGGAAGGCGGGGGGUUGAGGGCACCGAGGGGGCAGAGUGCGGUCUGGGGACACCGUGGGGUUGGGGACAGCAUAGAGGUUGGGGACACCGAGGGGACACCAUGGGGUUGGGGACACCAAGGAGACACUGUGGGGUUGGGGACAGC
RNAcentral lists this long non-coding RNA (2039 nucleotides) under Phasianus colchicus (ring-necked pheasant). Its description in RNAcentral is "lncRNA (ENSPCLG00000013866.1)". Lineage: Eukaryota; Metazoa; Chordata; Aves; Galliformes; Phasianidae. The record is from RNAcentral.